Molecule: long non-coding RNA, 623 nt
Organism: Podarcis raffonei (Aeolian wall lizard)
Lineage: Eukaryota; Metazoa; Chordata; Lepidosauria; Squamata; Lacertidae
Exons: 3
Source: RefSeq, a predicted model, not a curated record
CAUCUUUUGACCCGGUGCUGAGAAGGCUCCUUGCUAUUCAAAGGAUAGAAAGAUAAGGAUCAGCCAGGGUUUCUUUUUCGAGUCUCCCAACGUAUAUUUCUCUGUGACAGCUUAAUUCAAAAUGCUCAUUAGUGAGCCUGUAGUGAUAAUUUAAAUUAAAGGGGGACACACACAUCCUUUUGACUUCAAAGAGUAGAGAAAUCUGUAUGUAUGAAAACAGAUGAUUUGUUACCUUGUCAAAAUGUCAGAAAAAGAUAAGCUAGGUAGUACUCUGCUUGUGGAUACAAAGCUGAUAUCAGAGAGAAACACUUGCUUAUAAUUUGAAGAAAUCCACUCUGUAGCCCAAGAGAGGAAAAUGUCAACCUGCAAUAUUUGGGUGACAUGGAAAUGGAAAAAGGGUGGAAUAUCUCCAAAAGAAACAUGAGAAGUCACAGAGAAGAUUCCUUACUUGCUUCCGGACAUCAUCUUUUGUUGUUUUCCGAGCUGGUUGGGAGGGCAUAUGUACAGGACUUUGGGACUGACUGUCUUCUGUAACUCCGAAUCUUGCCUUUUUGACCCUCUGUGGAUUUUUCAUACGCCGACACUUUCUGAUGUCCAUCUCUGUUGUGUUCACGCAGCCCGGC